Molecule: non-coding RNA, 81 nt
Filed under: Fischerella thermalis JSC-11
Lineage: Bacteria; Bacillati; Cyanobacteriota; Cyanophyceae; Nostocales; Hapalosiphonaceae
Description: Fischerella sp. JSC-11 Photosynthesis regulatory RNA1
Rfam family: Photosynthesis regulatory RNA1
About the family: Formerly known as Syr1 discovered in Synechocystis sp PCC 6803, is a regulatory factor controlling photosynthetic functions.
Source: Rfam by way of RNAcentral
AUUAACUUUUUUAAAUAUCAAUAUCUCCCAUCGACAUUUGGAUUCCUCAUGGUCGCCUCGGUGUUUUGUACCGAGGCUUUU